GUGCCAGCUGCAGUGGGGGAG
RNAcentral lists this microRNA (21 nucleotides) under Pan troglodytes (chimpanzee). RNAcentral's name for it is "ptr-miR-1202". RNAcentral also lists the same sequence under 2 other names. The record is from miRBase by way of RNAcentral. Lineage: Eukaryota; Metazoa; Chordata; Mammalia; Primates; Hominidae.